RNAcentral lists this long non-coding RNA (1306 nucleotides) under Prunus persica (peach). RNAcentral describes it as "long non-coding RNA (PPER_LNC002868)". Lineage: Eukaryota; Viridiplantae; Streptophyta; Magnoliopsida; Rosales; Rosaceae. The record is from RNAcentral.
ACACCACAGUGAUAGCUCCGUGAGCAAGAAGGUUGCAAGUUUUCUUUCAAAUGUUGGAUUCAUCAAAAAUUAGCAUUGACUCUUGGAAUCUAUGAAGGAGUAAUGAGCAUGAGGAAAAGACUCCUCAACUACUCAAACGGCCACUUACCCCCGAAACAAAAACAAAAACAAAAAAACCACUCAAACGGCCAAAUCUCAUUAUUUUUCUCAAUUUUGACCAAAUUAAUGCAUAUUUUAAAUACUUCCAUAGGUAUGAUUUGCAACACGUCUCAAGACUUUCUUUAAAUAUUAACACUCUAAAAUAGUUGUCCAAUACUUUUAUUUAGUGCUAAUGGGUUCAUAGCUUAUUGGUAAGAAUAGUUUCGUAUUCGAAACCCCAGCGAGACAGACAUAGACAGAGUCACACACUGAAUAUGCAAACUAAUUCUGAUGUCUGCAACUGUGGAUUUCAUGUAAAAUACAAAACCAACGCCAACUGCUACGAGAAGCCGCAUCUCUAAUAUUCGAUUAUGCAUUAUAACCAAUUAAAAAGUCCCCAAAUCAAACAAGCAACUCUCUAAAGUCUAAAGUCAAAGUGUCUGAAUUCAUGAACAUGCCAAGUUGCCAACGGAGCCCUCAUUAGCUUCAUAUGAGCGUCAUCACCAAAUGAGCCUUUUUUUUUAUGGAGUUGGCAUCAACUUCUUCUUCUUCUCUUUUUCAGAGAAAUGCAUGCACAUGUGUAAGUUGGUUCCUAAUGGACCCAAACGAAUUCAGCUUUUGUUCCCUAUAGCCUUCGAUGGAUGCACCCAAGUAUUUGCCUCAAAACACUUCACCAAAAAUAUUGUAAAAUCCAUGGGACCUCCAAUAAUGCAGGUUUCCUUAUGGGACCCAUGAAAUUGUUAGACACACAUACAUACUCUUCAUUAAUAGCCACCUUCUUCUGCCUCUUAAUCAUCAAUAAGUCAAAACGAAAGUUUACUUAUCACUCUAUUGCAAACAAAAAAAGGUUGUCUCAAUCAGCAAUGUUUUCUUCUUUCUCCCAAUUGCCUCUCUUUUCCAAUGUUAGGUACAUGAACAAGUAGCUUUCUAUCUCCUUGAGGCCACAUAUAAAGAUUGAUAUCCAUUUUAAACAAGUCGAGUUUGUUUCGUUUCCGUUUGGUUUAUGGUUUAUAUAGAAAUGCUUCAUUCAACUUUUUAAACGACAUGAUAUUUUUGAUAUCCUUAUCAAAAAAGAGUCGCGACAGAAAAAAAAAAAAGAAAAAAGAAGAAGAAAAUAUGUGAUAGGAAAUGCAUAUAUAUGUAGACAUUGAGGGAAAUUGGAAAAGAC